RNAcentral lists this long non-coding RNA (808 nucleotides) under Sinocyclocheilus anshuiensis. RNAcentral describes it as "lncRNA (ENSSANG00000036917.1)". The record is from RNAcentral. Lineage: Eukaryota; Metazoa; Chordata; Actinopteri; Cypriniformes; Cyprinidae.
UCGCAGUCCAGAGCCACGCCCCCUGAACGCAUAUACGCUUACGGAUCAGACGACCAGAGACCAUAUUACUACAAUACAUCAUGUUAUUCACCGGUGAGAAAACGUCAUACUACAGUUAGUAAAAGUACUACAAUACCAGGAAGGAAGAUCAGGUUGAUGUUUGCCUGCCAUUCCCACAAUAGUAUCCAGCUGCAACCCCGCAGCCCCACACGUUUCAGGACACACAAUCCAGACCAUACGAUCCAGGCCGGAAGUGAGGGGCGGAGUUAGUAAAACGUAACAACAUGGCGGAGAGCAGGGGAAUGGAUGUGUGGACAGCUGACGCAUAUGUUGUGGCUACCUGGUUACCUCCAAAUAAUUUGGACCCAUCACUGUCUUUUCCAUAAGAUGACAGCUAAAAUUGCACCUGGCACAUGGAUGCUACUAAAAAACAAGGUUAAUUUUGUAAUUGGGACAUAUGUCAAUCUCUUACACACAACCUAAAUAUUUUUCUUUUUCAUUUUUUUUUAAGGAUGUCCCCCAACAGAUUGGCUAUGUGGACUGUGGAUUUUCAUUCAGGGAAGACAUGGAGAUUUUUUUAGUUGAAUGCCAUGAAAAAAUGGGGUUAAAAUUGAAUUCUUCGUUUGAAGAGUGAAAAGUAUAAGACUUUCAAAAGCUUUUUUUUUUUUUUAUAUUACAAUUAAAUUUCUAAAUUUUAAUUUUAGUUCUAUUUUUGGUUGUUGAAAUGUUUUUUUUUUAUUAGUAUGUUGCACUUUUUCCAUGUUCAAUUUGAAUUUUAAAAUAAAAAGUAUUCUUGACAUCAAACGUC